Molecule: small nuclear RNA, 279 nt
Filed under: Myotis davidii
Lineage: Eukaryota; Metazoa; Chordata; Mammalia; Chiroptera; Vespertilionidae
Description: 7SK RNA
Rfam family: 7SK RNA
About the family: 7SK was discovered as an abundant small nuclear RNA in the mid-70s but a possible function has only recently been suggested. Two independent studies have found that 7SK RNA binds the CDK9/cyclin T complex (known as elongation factor P-TEFb).
Source: Rfam by way of RNAcentral
GGAUGUGAGGGUGAUCUGGCUGCCACAUCUGUCAUGCCAUUGAUCGCCAGGGUUGAUUUGGCUGAUCUGGCUGGCUAGGUGGGUGUCCCCUCCCUCCCUCCCUGCUCCCUGUGUGUUCCUCCCAGCCGACCUUACCCAACAGAGAGAGUACCAUUCUUCGGUCAAGGGUAUACCGGUACAGUAGCUGUGCUCCCCUGCUAGAACCUCCAAACAAGCUCUCAAGAAGGUAUGUUAGCCCUGGCUGGUUUGGCCCAGUGGAUAGAGCGUUUUCCUCUUAUC